GAUGAACGCUGGCGGCAUACCUUACACAUGCAAGUCGAACGGCAGCACGGGAGUAAUCCUGGUGGCGAGUGGCGAACGGGUGAGUAAAGUAUCGGAACGUGCCCAGUCGUGGGGGAUAACGUAGCGAAAGUUACGCUAAUACCGCAUACGAUCUAUGGAUGAAAGCGGGGGAUCGCAAGACCUCGCGCGAUUGGAGCGGCCGAUAUCAGAUUAGGUAGUUGGUGGGGUAAAGGCUCACCAAGCCGACGAUCUGUAGCUGGUCUGAGAGGACGACCAGCCACACUGGGACUGAGACACGGCCCAGACUCCUACGGGAGGCAGCAGUGGGGAAUUUUGGACAAUGGGCGAAAGCCUGAUCCAGCCAUGCCGCGUGCAGGAUGAAGGCCUUCGGGUUGUAAACUGCUUUUGUACGGAACGAAAAGGUUUGGCCUAAUAAGCUGAGCUCAUGACGGUACCGUAAGAAUAAGCACCGGCUAACUACGUGCCAGCCGCCGCCGUAA
RNAcentral lists this ribosomal RNA (500 nucleotides) under uncultured bacterium. RNAcentral describes it as "partial 16S ribosomal RNA". It matches the Rfam family "Bacterial small subunit ribosomal RNA", at positions 28 to 523 of the family's 1533-position model. The record is from RNAcentral.